AGAUACCGGCCUGGUGCCAAACUGGUUACUGCUGCUUCCUGUGGCCUCCAUGGCUGAGGACUGGCUGGACUGCCCGGCCCUGGGCCCUGGCUGGAAGCGCUGUGAAGUCUUUCGCAAGUCAGGGGCCACCUGUGGACGCUCAGACACCUGUUACCAGAGCCCCACAGGAGACAGGAUCUGAAGCAAAGUUGAGCUGACUCGAUACCUGGGCCCUGCGUGUGAUCUCACCCUCUUCGACUUCAAACAAGGCAUCUUGUGCUAUCCAGCCCCCAAGGCCCAUCCCGUGGCGGUUGCCAGCAAGAAGCGAAAGAAGCAUUCAAGGCUAGCCAAAACCCAGAAACGUCAGGUUGGACCCCCGAGUGGUGAGGUCAGGAAGGAGGCCCCGAAGGAUGAGACCAAGGCUAACACUGACACAGCCCCAGCUUCAUUCCCUGCUCCUGGAUGCUGUGAGAACUGUGGAAUCAGCUUCCCAGGGGAUGGCACCCAAAGGCAGCGGCUCAAAACGUUGUGCAAAGACUGUCGAGCACAGAGAAUUGCCUUCAACCGGGAACAGAGAAUAUUUAAGCGUGUGAGCUCUGGGGAGUGUGCAGCCUGCCAGGUAACAGAAGACUGUGGGGCCUGCUCCACCUGCCUCCUGCAGCUGCCCCAUGAUGUGGCAUCGGGGCUGUUCUGCAAGUGUGAACGGAGACGCUGCCUCCGGAUUGUGGAAAGCAGCCGAGGGUGUGGAGUAUGCCGGGGCUGUCAGACCCAAGAGGAUUGUGGCCUUUGCCCCAUCUGCCUUCGCCCUCCCCGCCCUGGUCUCAGGCACCAGUGGAAAUGUGUCCAGAGACGUUGCCUACGGGGUAAACAUGCCCCCCCAAGGGAGGCUGUGACUCCAAGAUGGCUGCCAGGCGGCGCCCCGGAGCCCAGCCACUGCCUCCACCACCCCCAUCACAGUCCCCAGAGCCCACAGAGCCGCACCCCAGAGCCCUGGCCCCCUCACCACCUGCCGAGUUCAUCUAUUACUGUGUAGACGAGGACGAGCUAAAGCGGCUGCUGCCCAGUGUCUGGUCAGAGUCUGAGGAUGGGGCAGGAUUGCCCCCACCUUACCGUCGUCGAAAGAGGCCCAACUCUGCCCAACGGCACCAUCUUGGCCCUACCUUGAAGCCCACCUUGGCUACACGCACAGCCCAACCAGACCAUACUCAGGCUCCAACGAAGCAGGAAGCAGGUGGUGGCUUUGUGCUGCCCCCGCCUGGCACUGACCUUGUGUUUUUACGGGAGGGUGCAAGCAGUCCUGUGCAGGUGCCGGGCCCUGCUGCAGCUUCCACAGAAGCCCUGUUGCAGGCAGUAGACCCAGGCCUGCCAUCUGUGAAGCAAGAGCCACCUGACCCUGAGGAGGACAAGGAGGAGAACAAGGAUGACUCUGCCUCCAAAUUGGCCCCAGAGGAAGAGGCAGGAGGGGCUGGCACACCCGUGAUCAUGGAGAUUUUCAGCCUGGGUGGAACCCGCUUCUGAGAUACAGCAGCCUGGUUGCCCAGUCUACAGGGCAGGCACUCAGGAAGGGAAGAUGGAUGUAAAGUGUGGGAGACCGAGGACACAGUGGAGCCCACGAGCACGAGCUGGAACCCACGAGGAUGGCCUGGAACCCAUGUCAGUCUCUCACUACCUCCAGCUUCGAUGAUGUGGGUGUCCUGCAGAAGAAGCUGGUGCCCUUCCUCACAGAGUUAAAUAUGCAUCUGGCCCAGGAAUUAGAGAAGCUGAAGGGAUGAUCCUGGGGAAGGUGGAGCAGCUGCAGGCCUGGCUGCAGGCCUGACUACUGCCCGCCCCAGCGAGGUGAUCCAGCAGAUACAUGGCAACGUGUGAACUGCAACAGUGCCUGGUGCCCCAGCACCAACCUUCCAAGUGUAAAAACAAUAUGCUGCUGCUUCACUUCUGCCCUCCGGUUAUCAAGCAAAAUGUCUCUUGUGGCCCAUCUUACUGGAAGAGAGUUCUGGGAAACGUAGCCUCACCAAGGUGACACAUUACAAAGCCACCCUACCAUGAAUCCGCUCCCAAGGGUCUCCCUGCUCACCUGAGGAUAACUCAAUAUAACUAUGUUGCUGAAAAUGCAAAGCUGAAGACCAUGGAUUUCCUGGUGAUUCCAGCAAGUGCAGAGAUUCUAUGAAGCCCACCCAGAAAAAACUUGCUGGUCCUGGCUAUUUUUGUGUCAUUUAUUCAAGUAUUGAGAACCUGGCCUGUGGUAGGCACUGUACUUAAUACUAGGAUACAGAAAUGCAAAAGAUACGGCCCAUGCAAUUUUAUUAAAUGCAUCAAUAUGUAUUACAAAUGGUGAAUGGAUUUCCAAAUUUAUCAUGGAAUUUAAUGCUGAAUAUAUAGAAUUCAGAAAAAAAA
Molecule: RNA transcript, 2373 nt
Organism: Nomascus leucogenys (northern white-cheeked gibbon)
Lineage: Eukaryota; Metazoa; Chordata; Mammalia; Primates; Hylobatidae
Gene name: methyl-CpG-binding domain protein 1-like
Exons: 2
Source: RefSeq, a predicted model, not a curated record